RNAcentral lists this ribosomal RNA (497 nucleotides) under uncultured bacterium. RNAcentral describes it as "partial 16S ribosomal RNA". It matches the Rfam family "Bacterial small subunit ribosomal RNA", at positions 28 to 507 of the family's 1533-position model. The record is from RNAcentral.
GAUGAACGCUGGCGGCGUGCCUAAUACAUGCAAGUAGAACGCUGAAGGAAGGAGCUUGCUCUUUCCGGAUGAGUUGCGAACGGGUGAGUAACGCGUAGGUAACCUGCCUGGUAGCGGGGGAUAACUAUUGGAAACGAUAGCUAAUACCGCAUAACAGUAGAUGUUGCAUGAUAUCUACUUAAAAGGUGCAAUUGCACCACUACCAGGUGGACCUGCGUUGUAUUAGCUAGUUGGUGAGGUAACGGCUCACCAAGGCGACGAUACAUAGCCGACCUGAGAGGGGGAUCGGCCAAACUGGGACUGAGACACGGCCCAGACUCCUACGGGAGGGAGCAGGAGGGAAUCUUCGGCAAUGGACGGAAGGCUGAACGAGCAACGCCGCGGGAGUGAAGAAGGGUUUCGGAUCGUAAAGCUCUGUUGUAAGAGAAGAACGAGUGUGAGAGUGGAAAGUUCACACUGUGACGGUAUCUUAUCAGAAAGGGACGGCUAACUACGUG